AUGGUGCCGGGCCCUGAGCUGCCAGCGUCUGCGGGCCCCUUGCUAAGAAUGAAGGAGCAGGCCGGUCUCCGCCCUCCCGCGUCUCGUCUCAAGAGGAGGACACGCAAUGUCACCUUCAUCAGGCCCUCCUGGUUUUGCCCUUCACCUGUUGAAGACUCGGGACCACGCGUCCCCGGAAAGAGAAUUAAGGACACACGUACCACCAGCCAAUCUGAUACUGCAGGUGAGUGUCAGACGCAAAGCAACUCGGCAGGGGGGCUGUCCCGUGGAAGGUUUUGGAGAAUUGUUUUCUGAGGCAACGGCUUUGAUUCUAAAUACUUAAUCUCUUCCAAGGUGCAGUCUCCUCUGAAGCCAAGAUCCACCUGUAAGCUCCACAAGCACCAGCAGGAAGCUGUCCUGCCUACAUCUGUCCCACAGGUUCCCAGGGCCUGGUUCUAGGAGGCAGACAUCUCAGCUCUGCCCUUGACCAUGAUCUGGGGCCGAGCUGAAGCAGAGGGUCCAGGUGGAGGCCCCCAGCGCCAGAGUAAUGAUCGCCCGGGGCCGGGUCUCCCGAGUCCUGUCUCCGCAGGCUUCGCACCAGGAGUGAGAGCUGUCCGGGUGCAGAAGCGCCGCUGUCUUCAUGUCCCUGGAUUCGUCACAAUUCCCCAGAGAAACAGAAGCCGGGCGGCCGUGGCUUCCCGGUGGAGCCUGCAAGUCAGCGUGGAGCUUCUAGGAAGAGCCUGACGUUCUGAUAACAGACUGGAGCUGCUUAGGGUCAGUAUUAGUAACUGACCUGUAUUUUCUCCACUCAAGACCGCACCUCAUCUCCAGCUUUGUAUUGUAUUUUAGCCUGAAGACACCUUGGCUGUCUCCCUUCUCAUCCUGUGACAGUGUCCUGUGAAGACAAAAGUUAUGGUGGCCACUGUCCAUGAAUCGGUGACUUUGCAGGUGGGAUGAAGUAUCCGACUCUUCCCAGGUCUUUUUUUUUUUUAACUCACUGGAUCUUAGUAUAAUUACAGUUGUGCAAAAGCAUCAUCACAACCCAGUGUUACAUUUCCACUCCACACCCCCAGCCCAUCCCUCUCCCGCCCCAACCUGUCUCCUUUGGUAACCACAGUUUUUCAAAGCCUGUGAGUCAGUUUCUGUCCUGCAAAU
Molecule: long non-coding RNA, 1134 nt
Filed under: Sus scrofa (pig)
Lineage: Eukaryota; Metazoa; Chordata; Mammalia; Artiodactyla; Suidae
Description: lncRNA (ENSSSCG00025049819.1)
Source: RNAcentral